UCUGCAGGGGGUUAUCAGUGAAUAUGGAGGAAAGGUCCACAUGUCAGGUUUACAUAGAGAUAUUAACGUGCACUGCAAUUAUCCAACAUCUAGAAGAGUCCACAAGCCACGGAAACGAGCGGGAGGCCGAGCGGGCCCGGGGGCUUGGCGCCCGCCCAAGGCUCUCAGCCAAUCAGGCUCCGUCUUGCGGAUAAUACUCCACCGACCUAAAUGAUUAAGGAAAACCGUGCGAUUAAGGUCAGUUUGAUCCGACGGCCCAU
This 260-nucleotide long non-coding RNA is filed under the name Sorghum bicolor (sorghum). Its description in RNAcentral is "long non-coding RNA (SBIC_LNC015567)". The record is from RNAcentral. Lineage: Eukaryota; Viridiplantae; Streptophyta; Magnoliopsida; Poales; Poaceae.